AUUGAACGCUGGCGGAAUGCUUUACACAUGCAAGUCGAACGGUAGAGGGGGCAACCCCUUGAGAGUGGCGAACGGGUGAGUAAUAUAUCGGAACGUGCCCUGUCGUGGGGAUAACGUAGCGAAAGUUACGCUAAUACCGCAUACGAUCUAAGGAUGAAAGCGGGGGAUCGCAAGACCUCGCGCGAUUGGAGCGGCCGAUAUCAGAUUAGGUAGUUGGUGAGGUAAAGGCUCACCAAGCCAACGAUCUGUAGCUGGUCUGAGAGGACGACCAGCUACACUGGAACUGAGACACGGUCCAGACUCCUACGGGAGGCAGCAGUGGGGAAUUUUGGACAAUGGACGCAAGUCUGAUCCAGCCAUUCCGCGUGCAGGAUGAAGGCCCUCGGGUUGUAAACUGCUUUUGUACGGAACGAAAGGUUUUUCUAAUACGAGGAGCUCAUGACGGUACCGUAAGAAUAAGCACCGGCUAACUACGUGCCAGCAGCCGCGGUAAUGUGACU
RNAcentral lists this ribosomal RNA (500 nucleotides) under uncultured bacterium. Its description in RNAcentral is "bacterial SSU rRNA". It matches the Rfam family "Bacterial small subunit ribosomal RNA", at positions 30 to 528 of the family's 1533-position model. The record is from RNAcentral.